CGCCAGACUGCACGGAGCCAUCCUUCAAAUACCACCCUUCAACGUUUGAUGUUCUAACUCGGGUCAAUAAUCUGGAUCGGGGACCGUGUAUGCAGGGUGGUUGGCCUGGGGCGGUGUCCUCCAAAAGCGUAACGGAGGAGCACGAAGGGUGGCUAAGCAUGGACGGAACUCAUGCGGUUAGUGCAACGGCAUAAGCUAGCUUGACUGCGAGAGUGGCGGCACGUGCAGUGACGAAAGUAGGUAGAUAGGCAGUGUGUCGUGUAGGGAAAG
This 270-nucleotide ribosomal RNA is filed under the name Morganella morganii. Its description in RNAcentral is "partial 23S ribosomal RNA". It matches the Rfam family "Bacterial large subunit ribosomal RNA", at positions 2169 to 2440 of the family's 2925-position model. Lineage: Bacteria; Pseudomonadati; Pseudomonadota; Gammaproteobacteria; Enterobacterales; Morganellaceae. The record is from RNAcentral.